AAGAGCUGCGCCAUGAGCGCAUGAUACGCCCGUCGUUCGCCAAUGAAGUAGUAAGGUAAUAAAUAACCCUUUGAAUCAUUUUUUUACUUCAGUUUAUUUGUAUUUGAAUACAUGGUUUAUUUUAUAAGAACAUGAGCAUGGAGCGCCGUCUCCUUGACAUUCAACAAAGUCCCAUAACUGUGGAACAACAAUUCAGAAUUCCGUCAAAAACGAAAGGGGAUCAGGGUUUAUCAAUAUUAAGAUUGUGUUGAAAUUUGAAAAAAAUCCAUCGAAGGAUAUUUGAGCUACAGUAGGACAUUCAAUGAAAUCACGAAAUUUUGACGAACAAAGUCCCAUAACUCUGGAACGACAAUUCAGAAUUCCGUCAAAAACGAAAGGGGAUCAGGGUUUAUCAAUAUUAAGAUUGUGUUAAAAUUUGAAGAAAAUCUGUCAAAGGAUAUUUGACGUAGCGUACGACAUUAACAGACGGACAGACGGACGCGGGGUAUACCAUAAUACGUCCCGUCAUAGAC
Long non-coding RNA from Dreissena polymorpha, 512 nucleotides. RefSeq lists it as uncharacterized. The record is from RefSeq and is a predicted model, not a curated record. The transcript is spliced from 2 exons. Lineage: Eukaryota; Metazoa; Mollusca; Bivalvia; Myida; Dreissenidae.